RNAcentral lists this non-coding RNA (58 nucleotides) under Helianthus annuus (common sunflower). The record is from RNAcentral. Lineage: Eukaryota; Viridiplantae; Streptophyta; Magnoliopsida; Asterales; Asteraceae.
CACUGGUUGAGAGUUGUUGUCGCUCUCCUGAUGAGUCCAAAGAAGGACGAAACCAGUA